RNAcentral lists this ribosomal RNA (254 nucleotides) under uncultured bacterium. RNAcentral's name for it is "partial 16S ribosomal RNA". It matches the Rfam family "Bacterial small subunit ribosomal RNA", at positions 524 to 776 of the family's 1533-position model. The record is from RNAcentral.
UACGUAGGGUGCAAGCGUUGUCCGGAUUUAUUGGGCGUAAAGAGCUCGUAGGCGGUUCGGUAAGUCGGGUGUGAAAACUCUGGGCUCAACCCAGAGAUGCCACCCGAUACUGCUGUGACUUGAGUCUGGUAGGGGAGCACGGAAUUCCUGGUGUAGCGGUGAAAUGCGCAGAUAUCAGGAGGAAUACCGGUGGCGAAGGCGGCAUCCUGGACCGGCAUUGACGCUGAGGAGCGAAAGCUAGGGGAGCAAACGGG